GAUGCAAUUUCUCUGAACACCACCUUCUUCCAUGAUGUGAAUUCUGCCAAAUUGUUGCAUGGCACUCAAACCCUCAACGAGGAGCCACUAGGAGUUGUGAAAUUACAGAAGUCUCAAAAUAGAUCCUGCCUCCCAGAUGCUGGUGGUGGCAUCUCCAACAUCCCAAACCAAGCAUCCUUUUAGGAAAAAGUGACAAACUGAAGUUUAUUCUCUGUUGCAAGAAUCUUCAGCGAUAUGAGAGACCAAAUCCUCUCUCCUAAAAGUUGCCUGCUGGUGUACCUGCUACACAGGCCUUACUGAUUGGCAUGACCUUGGAGAGCAAACUGAUGUAUUAGCAAAAUUCUUCUAGAAACAACAAGGUGUAGUGAGAAGAAGGCAUCCAGCCUUCUCUUAUAAACCUAUGAAAUGAAAGGAGUCAGCUGAAUUUUUAAGCAAAGAAACCAUAGCUAAAAAGUUAUCCAAGAUCACACGGACCCAAAACUUUGCACAAACUUUAUCAGUCUAUCUAUCUGAAAAUCAUGUUUAAAGAAGUCAUCUUGGGCCCACCUGGUGGCACACAUGGUUAAAUAAAGCACAGCACUGUGAAGCUACC
Long non-coding RNA from Condylura cristata (star-nosed mole), 592 nucleotides. RefSeq lists it as uncharacterized. The record is from RefSeq and is a predicted model, not a curated record. Lineage: Eukaryota; Metazoa; Chordata; Mammalia; Eulipotyphla; Talpidae. The transcript is spliced from 3 exons.